This 29-nucleotide non-coding RNA is filed under the name Mus musculus (house mouse). The record is from RNAcentral. Lineage: Eukaryota; Metazoa; Chordata; Mammalia; Rodentia; Muridae.
UGAGCUGCAUAUGAAAGUGCCACAGGCUA